This 119-nucleotide microRNA precursor is filed under the name Mus spretus (western wild mouse). Its description in RNAcentral is "predicted gene, 55857 (ENSMSPG00010021335.1)". The record is from RNAcentral. Lineage: Eukaryota; Metazoa; Chordata; Mammalia; Rodentia; Muridae.
UUUGUUUGUUUUUGCUUCUUUUGUUUUGUUUGCAAUCUCACUCUAUAACCUAGGCUGGCUUAAAAUUUACUAUGUAGUCCAUGCUAGCCUCAAAUUCAUGGCAAUCCUGCCUCAGCCUC